Molecule: ribosomal RNA, 292 nt
Filed under: uncultured bacterium
Lineage: Bacteria
Also listed under: 2 other names
Description: partial 16S ribosomal RNA
Source: RNAcentral
GGACUACCCGGGUAUCUAAUCCCGUUCGCUCCCCUGGCUUUCGCGCCUCAGCGUCAGUUGAGGUCCAGCGCGCCGCUUUCGCCGCCGGCGUUCCUUCCGAUAUCAACACAUUUCACCGCUCCACCGGAAGUUCCGCGCGCCCCUACCUCACUCCAGGCGGCCAGUCUCCAAGGCAGUUCCCCGGUUGAGCCGGGGGCUUUCACCCCGGACUUGGCCGCCCGCCUACGCGCCCUUUAAGCCCAGUGAUUCCGAACAACGUUCGCACGGUUCGUCUUACCGCGGCUGCUGGCAC